Molecule: ribosomal RNA, 449 nt
Filed under: uncultured bacterium
Lineage: Bacteria
Description: bacterial SSU rRNA
Rfam family: Bacterial small subunit ribosomal RNA
Source: RNAcentral
CGGCAGCAGCUAAGAAUCUUCCGCAAUGGGCGCAAGCCUGACGGAGCGACGCCGCGUGGGCGAGGAAGGCCGCAAGGUUGUAAAGUCCUUUUCGGGAAGGGGAAUAAUACAAAGAGGCAAUGCUUUGUAGAUGACAUGAAUCCCGGAAUAAGCCCCGGCUAACUACGUGCCAGCAGCCGCGGUAACACGUAGGGGGCGAGCGUUGUUCGGAAUCAUUGGGCGUAAAGGGCGCGCAGGCGGCGUGUAAAGUCUGGCGUGGAAGUCCCCGGCUCAACUGGGGGAUUGCGUUGGAAACUGGCACGCUUGAGUACGAAAGGGGAUGGCGGAAUUCCUAGUGUAGGAGUGAAAUCCGUAGAUAUUAGGAGGAACACCGAUGGCGAAGGCAGGUCUCUGGGCAGUAACUGACGCUGAGGAGCGAAAGCAUGGGUAGCGAACAGGAUUAGAUACCC